GAUGAAGAACGCAGCGAAAUGCGAUAAGUAAUGUGAAUUGCAGAAUUCCGUGAAUCAUCGAAUCUUUGAACGCACAUUGCGCCCCUGGCAUUCCGGGGGGCAUGCCUGUCCGAGCGUCAUUUCUGCCCUCCAGCCCGGCUGGGUGUUGGGCGCUGUCCCCCCGGGGACACGCCCCAAAGGCAGUGGCGGCGCCGCGUCGGGUCCUCGAGCGUAUGGGGCUUUGUCACCCGCUCGGGACGGACUCGUCGGCGCUGGUCUUCCUCCAGGCGACCCUUCGGGGCUCGUCUUCCUUCGGUUGACCUCGGAUCAGGUAGGGUUACCCGCUGAACUUAAGCAUAUCAAUAAGCGGAGGA
This 353-nucleotide unclassified non-coding RNA is filed under the name soil metagenome. RNAcentral describes it as "partial contains 5.8S ribosomal RNA, internal transcribed spacer 2, and large subunit ribosomal RNA". The stretch from base 1 to 119 matches the Rfam family "5.8S ribosomal RNA", at positions 35 to 154 of the family's 154-position model. The record is from RNAcentral.